Schistosoma curassoni is the source of this 45-nucleotide non-coding RNA. The record is from Rfam. Lineage: Eukaryota; Metazoa; Platyhelminthes; Trematoda; Strigeidida; Schistosomatidae.
AUCCAGCUGACGAGUCCAAUACAAGACAAAAUGCACUUCGUGGAU